GAGUGGCGAACGGGUGAGUAACACGUGGGUAAUCUGCCCUGCACUCUGGGAUAAGCCUUGGAAACGGGGUCUAAUACCGGAUAUCACCGCANUUNGCGCAUGUNGGGUGGUUGAAAGUUCUGGCGGUGCAGGAUGAACCCGCGGCCUAUCAGCUUGUUGGUGGGGUAAUGGCCUACCAAGGCGACGACGGGUAGCCGGCCUGAGAGGGUGACCGGCCACACUGGGACUGAGACACGGCCCAGACUCCUACGGGAGGCAGCAGUGGGGAAUAUUGCACAAUGGGCGCAAGCCUGAUGCAGCGACGCCGCGUGAGGGAUGACGGCCUUCGGGUUGUAAACCUCUUUCGCCAGGGACGAAGCGCAAGUGACGGUACCUGGAUAAGAAGCACCGGCUAACUACGUGCCAGCAGCCGCGGUAAUACGUAGGGUGCGAGCGUUGUCCGGAAUUAUUGGGCGUAAAGAGCUCGUAGGCGGUUUGUCGCGUCGGCCGUGAAAUCUCCACGCUUAACGUGGAGCGUGCGGUCGAUACGGGCAGACUUGAGUUCGGUAGGGGAGACUGGAAUUCCU
Molecule: ribosomal RNA, 566 nt
Filed under: Amycolatopsis sp. 322G03
Lineage: Bacteria; Bacillati; Actinomycetota; Actinomycetes; Pseudonocardiales; Pseudonocardiaceae
Description: bacterial SSU rRNA
Rfam family: Bacterial small subunit ribosomal RNA
Source: RNAcentral